This is a long non-coding RNA of Populus trichocarpa (black cottonwood), 2082 nucleotides long. RefSeq lists it as uncharacterized. The transcript is spliced from 4 exons. Lineage: Eukaryota; Viridiplantae; Streptophyta; Magnoliopsida; Malpighiales; Salicaceae. The record is from RefSeq and is a predicted model, not a curated record.
AAAUUCAUUGGUGUUUGUAUGAAAAAUAAAAAAUCAUGUGAGUUUAAUGCAAGUAUUCAAGAGUUUUAUUGACGAAUUCAUUGAUAAGUUAAGAUUUAAUUGGGAUGAAAAAUAGCUUAAAGAUCUAAUUGAGACCUGUCUUAAAGAUUGAGGGUUACUUUCUUGAGGUUUGCCUUUUAUUUUAUCCAUAGAAAUCUAGAAGAAGCUAAUAAAUCGAACCUUAAAAAAGAAGAGAGAAAGUCAGAGAAAUUCAUUUCUUCUGAAUCAAGACACUCGUCUCUGUGUGAGAGAGAGAGGGACGCGAAAUGGGUGACAAUCGGUGGAUAAUAACAAAGCAAGGAAGGAUAGAUUUGUUCAGAAGAAGAAAUGCUGGUGACCUGUUUGACGAGGAUAUCGAUUAUCUGUUGUGAUGGCAUUUUCAGAGCUCAAAAUAGUUCGCACAAGAAUUUCACUGGGAUUAUAUCUUUGAUAUACUACUCUGGCUGACAGGAUUGAGGCAAAUACUUACAACUGUUGCCAUCACAAGAAGAAGCUGUAAGCUUGCAGAACUUUUCUGGCCAGAAGGCGUGAAGAAAGCACCGUUGAGCAUCAUGUCUCCAUCUGAUCUCCAGUUCCAGCUCUUCCACUCCUCAAAUCCAGUCAAGCUUUCAUGCCAAGUCACCUGAAUGUGAAGUGAACUUUUAGGAACAAAAGGGUAAGUUGAGCAGUUCCCUAACUGGACGUAACCUGGUAAGUUGAACAACUAUAAUUAACUGGGACAGUUGAAGUGUCCAUGAUUUGACACUAGCCUUUUUUUUCAUUUCAAAUUCUACUUCAGUUAUUGCUUCAUUUGUGAAGAAUGAACUGUUCCCCCUUUCCUUUGGAGGGAUAAAAAAGGUAAGCUCUCAGGUAAAAUGAGAUAGCUGUCAAGUGAUUAAUUAUCUGUAGGCAAAGACGCCCUUCAUUUUGUUUAAGUAAAGCCUAUUCACUUUAAGAUAGAGAAACUUGCCUCCUUAGUGUCACUGUUGUCUAAUGCCAUAAAAACAUUCCCUUGGCUGUUGAUUGUUGGAUCGGCGCUUCCACCAAUUGCGUACUUCUCCCAACCAGUAUAUAUAUUAUUCACAAUGUGAAAAUAACCAUGCCUGCACCUGUAACACUUUGUAGAUGCAUUUAGAUAGCAGCAAUUCACUGAUAACUCCAGGGAUGCAGAGAAGAAAAGGGAGCGCCAUUAAUAUUUACAGUUGCUCAUGCAGCUUUGUUAUAGAGUAAAGUUAGUAAUAACUUCAGUUACCUGGGCAUUCUUUGAACCAGAUUUUCACCAAAAAAAUUGAAGGCAAUUGUGACUUGCAUAUUCUUGUCAUCAAGAAAAUCAUCACUAUGACCCAUAAGCAUAACCUCAUUAUGAUUGAACAUGUAGUUGUUUGAGAUUGUUAUAGAUGUUGAGCCAAAUACAGCAUCUAUCAGUCCGUCAUGGCAAUUAGCUAGUGUACAAUGAUCAAUCCACACAUCCCUAGCCGCAAAUAUCGAUAUCCCAUCCCCAUCUGAAUUACCUCUCAAACCGUAAUGCUUUGUGGAGUCUCUUACAAUGGCAUUUCCUCCUGGUACACAGCCAUGUAUGUAGAUGUUAUGUAUGAUAAUGUUACUGACAUUUUGAAUGGUUAUGCAAGGACCAUCCGCAAUCUGGAUGUUAUGCCCCCGGCCAUCAAUUGUUUUGUGUGAAUUCAUAAUAAGUUCUUCCUUCAAGUUGAUGACCAUGUCCUGAUCAAAGAUGAUCCACAGAGGCUCUUCUUGGAUGACACCAUAGCGGAGUGUGCCUGGAAUUGGGUUUACAGGGUCAUCAUUGUCAGAAUUUGUUACUACAUAGAGGUUACCAUCUCGACCCCCCACAGCAUUGCGUCCAAACCCAAUCGCGCAAUCAGCUAGCACCUUCCUGUUGGUUUCCCAGUCUGGGUCGCAUCUCCAACAAUCAUCAAUAGGGUUACCGGUUCUGCAUGCAUCGUUUCCCAGCUGCCUUCUCGUUGAGCUCCUGUUACAUCAUUUUGCUCAGAAAUUGAUCUUAAAUAUUCUUGUGAACAUAUAGCAUGAAACAUUCACUUACCACUU